AGUAGUGUCGCCUAAUGGUAAGGCAACGGUCUUUGAAACCGUAUAUCUAGGUUCGAUUCCUAGCACUACCGCCA
This 74-nucleotide transfer RNA is filed under the name Methanobrevibacter sp. Its description in RNAcentral is "tRNA-Gln". It matches the Rfam family "tRNA". From Rfam's summary of the family: Transfer RNA (tRNA) molecules are approximately 80 nucleotides in length. Lineage: Archaea; Methanobacteriati; Methanobacteriota; Methanobacteria; Methanobacteriales; Methanobacteriaceae. The record is from RNAcentral.